ACGCGUGGGAACGUGCCUUUCGGUUCGGAAUAACUCAGGGAAACUUGGGCUAAUACCGGAUACGCCCUUCGGGGGAAAGAUUUAUCGCCGAAAGAUCGGCCCGCGUCAGAUUAGCUUGUUGGUGAGGUAACGGCUCACCAAGGCGACGAUCUGUAGCUGGUCUGAGAGGAUGAUCAGCCACACUGGGACUGAGACACGGCCCAGACUCCUACGGGAGGCAGCAGUGGGGAAUAUUGGACAAUGGGCGCAAGCCUGAUCCAGCCAUGCCGCGUGGGUGAAGAAGGCCCUAGGGUUGUAAACCCCUUUCAGCGGGGAAGAUAAUGACGGUACCCGCAGAAGAAGCUCCGGCUAACUCCGUGCCAGCAGCCGCGGUAAUACGGAGGGAGCUAGCGUUGUUCGGAAUUACUGGGCGUAAAGCGCACGUAGGCGGACUUUCAAGUCAGGGGUGAAAUCCCGAGGCUCAACCUCGGAACUGCCUUUGAUACUGUAAGUCUUGAGUCCGAGAGAGGUGAGUGGAAUUCCUAGUGUAGAGGUGAAAUUCGUAGAUAUUAGGAAGAACACCAGUGGCGAAGGCGGCUCACUGGCUCGGUACUGACGCUGA
RNAcentral lists this ribosomal RNA (601 nucleotides) under uncultured bacterium. RNAcentral's name for it is "bacterial SSU rRNA". It matches the Rfam family "Bacterial small subunit ribosomal RNA", at positions 113 to 749 of the family's 1533-position model. The record is from RNAcentral.